AAUCCUUUAACGAGGAUCUAUUGGAGGGCAAGUCUGGUGCCAGCAGCCGCGGUAAUUCCAGCUCCAAUAGCGUAUAUUAAAGUUGUUGCGGUUAAAACGCUCGUAGUUGGAUCUGCGGCCUUGGAGAACGGUCCCCCGAAAGGGUGGUCACUGUCUCUCCUAGCCUGAAUUCCAGUCGUCUCUAUGUGCUCUUUACUGAGUGCCUAGAGUGACUAGAACGUUUACUUUGAAAAAAUUAGAGUGCUCAAAGCAGGCGAAAUAGCCUGAAUAAGGUGCAUGGAAUAAUGGAAUAGGACCUCGGUUCUAUUUUGUUGGUUUUCGGAACCUGAGGUAAUGAUUAAGAGGAACAGACGGGGGCAUUCGUAUUCCGGCGCUAGAGGUGAAAUUCUUGGACCGCCGGAAGACGAACAACUGCGAAAGCAUUUGCCAAGAAUGUUUUCAUUAAUCAAGAACGAAAGUUAGAGGUUCGAAGGCGAUCAGAUACCGCCCUAGUUCUAACCGUAAACGAUGACAACCAGCGAUUAAUCGGCGUUAAUAUAUGACCCGAUUAGCAGCUUCCGGGAAACCAAAGUUUUUCGUUUCCGGGGGAAGUAUGGUUGCAAAGCUGAAACUUAAAGGAAUUGACGGAGGGGCACCACCAGGAGUGGAGCCUGCGGCUUAAUUUGACCCAACACGGGAAAACUCACCCGGCCCGGACACUGUAAGGAUUGACAGACUGAGAGCUCUUUCUUAAUUCGGUGGGUGGUGGUGCAUGGCCGUUCUUAGUUGGUGGAGCGAUUUGUCUGGUUAAUUCCGAUAACGAACGAGACUCUGGCCUAUUAAAUAGACGAUAUAUCAAAAAGUAUGUCGUACUUCUUAGAGGGACAAGCGGCGUCUAGCCGCAUGAAAUAGAGCAAUAACAGGCCUGUGAUGCCCUUAGAUGUCCGGGGCUGCACGCGCGCUACACUGAAAGAAUCAGUGAGCGAUUCACCUAGUUCGGAAGAACCGGGUAACCCAAGUAAAUUCUUUCGUGCUUGGGAUAGGGAAUUCAAUUAUUUCCCUUAAACGAGGAAUUCCCAGUAAAUGCGGGUCAUAAGCUCGCGUUGAUUACGUCCCUGCCCUUUGUACACACCGCCCGUCGCUACUACCGAUUGGAUGACUUAGUGAGGUCUUAGGACCGGGGUAAUGGUGCUUUCGCGAGUGCUUUUGCUCUGGAAAUUUGAUCGAACUACGUUAUCUAGAGGAAGUAAAAGUCGU
This 1236-nucleotide ribosomal RNA is filed under the name metagenome. Its description in RNAcentral is "SSU rRNA". It matches the Rfam family "Eukaryotic small subunit ribosomal RNA", at positions 528 to 1792 of the family's 1831-position model. The record is from RNAcentral.